GUGGGGAAUCUUCCGCAAUGGACGAAAGUCUGACGGAGCGACGCCGCGUGAGUGAAGAAGGCCUUCGGGUCGUAAAGCUCUGUCAUCAGGGACGAACGGCCGGUGGAGUGGAAAGCCACCGGAUUGACGGUACCUGAGAAGGAAGCCACGGCUAACUACGUGCCAGCAGCCGCGGUAAUACGUAGGUGGCAAGCGUUGUCCGUAAUUAUUGGGCGUAAAGCGCGCGCAGGUGGGAUCUUAAGUCCAUUUUUAAAGUUCGGAGCUCAACUCCGUGAUGGGAUGGAAACUGGGAUUCGUGAGUACCGGAGAGGAAAGCGGAAUUCCCCGUGUAGCGGUGAAAUGCGUAGAUAUGGGGAGGAACACCAGUGGCGAAGGCGGCUUUCUGGACGGUGUCUGACACUGAGGCGCGAAAGCCAGGGGAGCGAACGGGAUUAGAAACCCUGGUAGUCC
RNAcentral lists this ribosomal RNA (450 nucleotides) under uncultured bacterium. RNAcentral's name for it is "partial 16S ribosomal RNA". It matches the Rfam family "Bacterial small subunit ribosomal RNA", at positions 354 to 796 of the family's 1533-position model. The record is from RNAcentral.